CAGCAGCCAAGAGACUCAGCCUACACAUCUGAGUCACUGCUUCACAUCCUGCCUGCUUCAGCACUUCCUUACUCAAAGCAGAGGCUCCUUGGAGCAGCAGAUUGAACUUCCAGCCACUUCAAAUAGGACAGCGAGAAAUCCCACAGACCAAAGGAGCACUAGGUGAAGUCAGCAACGUGGAAGAAUUCCUAAGGGCUGGCAAACCUAAAAAAUGGAAUGGAUGACUGUCUGGAUGUUUACUUGCUUGCUGAUUACAUCUCUACCCAGAGGUCAACCAGACAUGACGUGCCAUGCAUCUGUGGGAGAAACUGUUGUGUUGCCCUGCAACAGCACCUCUCCUGAAGAGCUGAACAUUCCCCACUCGAAGCUCUACUGGCAGAUAGAGGAUGACUUAGUGCAUUUCCUUUUCGAAGGGCACGAUGAUCUGGAGUUUCAGGAUAAGAAAUACCACGGCAGAACCAGUCUUUUUUUAAAUGAGGUGAAGCAUGGCAACUUUUCCUUAAAGCUCUCCAACGUCCAGCCACAGGAUGAAGCUGUGUAUAGUUGCAUCUACAGCCAGGCUGGGCAUCAAACACAGAAAUCUAAAAUUAAGCUCGAAGUAUCAGGCUCACCUAGCACUGAGGAGAAACACGAGUCUUCCGGACACGCUCAGAUUUCCUUGAGAAGUGCUGGUGAUGCACCACAUCUGGAUACACUUUCCCUCUCUUUUCAUCUCCUGGUGGCAGUAGGGGUUUGUCACCUGUACCUGGGGAAGUUGACCUUCUUCUCCUUGAAAGCUGUCCUCGAUAACAGAGCCUUACUAGGGAGAACAGCUCUGUAAGGUCAGCAUGAUAACUGCUCCAGAGCCACAUGAAAUGAAUACCAUCAUCUGAACAUUGACCCAGCACUAAGGUGCCUAUGUCUUCUAUUUUGGUGUUCCAGAAAACCAAAUGCAGCUGAACUCAUAGCUUGCUUUUCUUUUGUUCCUGGAGCCCAGAGGUAGUGCUGCUAGUACAAAGUUUUUAUUCUGAAUGUUGCGACUGAUUUAAUGACAAGAUAAAAGGCUCAUGAAGCCACAGGGUCACACACUGUCAGACCUUUGUGAGAUCUUUCACCUAAGAACUCACCCGCUGUCCUUCAGGAGAACCGAAAGCAGGAGAAGAGACAACUACUCUCUGUCAGAUAAAAUGUGGAAGUAGGAAGAGGCUCGCGUCGUGAAACGUAAGGAUGGAAAUCUUGUGAAACUUGAGCCUGUGGAACUUGAGUUUCUGCUUUAUUGCUAAGCGUCAUGGUCUGUCAUCAGAAGUAUUUUUUCCGAAAGAAAUGGACUAUUUCUUCAUCAGAAGGGUGAAGCUGACAGAGAUGGUGGUGAAAGUUCAGAGAAUAUCAGUGCAAAAGAAGGAAGUGAUGCAGUAUAACAAAUCACUUCCUUAUAAACCAGAGGCUUUAGAAGGCCGAAUUCAGCAUUUUCUUUUUGCCAUGAAGCACAGAAAAGUAAAAGUGGUCAUCGUAUAAAAGCUCUAUUUGUAACCUGGAACUGUGCAAGAAGAAAUUCUUACUGUGACAAUGUUCCUAGCUUAAAAAUGGUACCUUCUGGAAGAAAUUUUAGAAUCUGGUCAAAAUGAUUGUAGCAGUUACCCAUGCAAAUGAAAUGAGUUCUUAAAAUGUCCAAUCCAGGUAGUAUAAGAUUUCCUGUGUAAACUAAGAUUGAAAGGAUCCUGAAUAGGAAUAUUAUCAGGAAAUGGCCAAGCUUUGUUUCAGGCCAGAACUGCAGCAACAGCACUACUGCAGAACUGAGAUUCAGGUGAACUACUCACCCUGUCCUGCAGGGAGAGCGAUGCAGUCAUUGUGGCAGACAGAGGAGAGUGACAGAGAAAAAUGCACGUCAGGUCAUCCGGAUUUGGAACAACUCACCCUCUUUCCAAAGGAAAGAUAGGAUUGUUUUUGCAAGAAAAGAAACAGAAUAAAAUAGGGCUUUAAAUGGUAUCCA
Molecule: long non-coding RNA, 1969 nt
Organism: Chrysolophus pictus (golden pheasant)
Lineage: Eukaryota; Metazoa; Chordata; Aves; Galliformes; Phasianidae
Source: Ensembl